UUACGACCACAUCACGUUGAGACACCUGUCUCGUACGAUCACCGAAGUUAAGUAACGUCGAGCUUGGUCAGUACCUAGACGGGUGACCGCUUUGGAAUAUCAGGUGCUGUAAGC
This is a non-coding RNA of Acanthosepion pharaonis, 114 nucleotides long. NCBI's taxonomy places the organism in Eukaryota, Metazoa, Mollusca, Cephalopoda, Sepiida, Sepiidae. The record is from the annotation of a GenBank genome assembly.